ACGGGAAGAAUAAGUAAGGAUUAACACUUCUUACGAUGACGGUACUGUUUGUAAGCUCCGGCCAACUCCGUGCCAGCAGCCGCGGUAAUACGGGGGGAGCAAGCGUUGUUCGGAUUUACUGGGCGUAAAGGGCGCGUAGGCGGCGCAACAAGUCACUUGUGAAAUCUUCAGGCUUAACCUGAAGCGGCCAAGUGAUACUGUCGUGCUCGAGUGCGGAAGGGGCAACCGGAAUUCUUGGUGUAGCGGUGAAAUGCGUAGAUAUCAAGAGGAACACCUGCGGCGAAGGCGGGUUGCUGGGCCGACACUGACGCUGAGGCGCGAAAGCUAGGGGAGCGAACGGGAUUAGAUACCCCGGUAGUCCUAGCCUUAAACGAUGAAUGCUUGGUGUCCGAGGUUAGAUAGUCCUCGGGUGCCGUCGCUAACGCUUUAAGCAUUCCGCCUGGGAAGUACGGUCGCAAGACUGAAACUCAAAGGAAUUGACGGGGACCCGCACAAGCGGUGGAUGAUGUGGAUUAAUUCGAUGCAACGCGAAAAACCUUACCUACCCUUGACAUGUCAGGAAUCCCGAAGAGAUUUGGGAGUGCUCGAAAGAGAGCCUGAACACAGGUGCUGCAUGGCUG
Molecule: ribosomal RNA, 620 nt
Filed under: uncultured bacterium
Lineage: Bacteria
Description: bacterial SSU rRNA
Rfam family: Bacterial small subunit ribosomal RNA
Source: RNAcentral